GAUGAACGCUGGCGGCGUGCCUAAUACAUGCAAGUCGAGCGCGAGAAUGAGGAGCUUGCUCCUCAUAAUCGAGCGGCGGACGGGUGAGUAACACGUAGGCAACCUACCCUUGAGAUUGGGAUAACUACCGGAAACGGUAGCUAAUACCGGAUACGACUUUUCCACACAAGUGGAAUUGUUAAAAGGCGGAUUUAUCUGCCGCUCAUGGAUGGAUCUGCGGUGCAUUAGCUAGUUGGUGAGGUAGUGGCUCACCAAGGCGACGAUGCAUAGCCGACCUGAGAGGGUGAUCGGCCACACUGGGACUGAGACACGGCCCAGACUCCUACGGGAGGCAGCAGUAGGGAAUCUUCCGCAAUGGACGCAAGUCUGACGGAGCAACGCCGCGUGAGUGAUGAAGGGUUUCGGCUCGUAAAACUCUGUUGUUAAGGAAGAACACUUGAGGUAGUAACUGGCCUUGAGAUGACGGUACUUAACCAGAAAGCCACGGCUAACUACGUGCCAGCAGCCGCAGUAA
RNAcentral lists this ribosomal RNA (514 nucleotides) under uncultured bacterium. RNAcentral describes it as "partial 16S ribosomal RNA". It matches the Rfam family "Bacterial small subunit ribosomal RNA", at positions 28 to 523 of the family's 1533-position model. The record is from RNAcentral.